UUUCCGUAGGUGAACCUGCGGAAGGAUCAUUAUUGUAUAACCGAGGUGCGAGGGCUGUCGCUGACCCGAAAGGUCGUGCACGCCCGAGUGCCCUCACACAUCCAUCUCACCCCUAUGUGCACCACCGCGUGGGUCCCCCUUUGGCUUGUUCGGAGGGGGGCUUACGUUUUCACACAAACUUUGUAUGCAGUGUAGAAUGUAUUUUUUGUUUUCGCGAUCACGCAAUCAAUACAACUUUCAACAACGGAUCUCUUGGCUCUC
Molecule: unclassified non-coding RNA, 261 nt
Filed under: plant metagenome
Description: partial contains small subunit ribosomal RNA, internal transcribed spacer 1, and 5.8S ribosomal RNA
Source: RNAcentral